This 315-nucleotide ribosomal RNA is filed under the name uncultured Acaulospora. Its description in RNAcentral is "SSU rRNA". It matches the Rfam family "Eukaryotic small subunit ribosomal RNA", at positions 569 to 886 of the family's 1831-position model. Lineage: Eukaryota; Fungi; Glomeromycota; Glomeromycetes; Diversisporales; Acaulosporaceae. The record is from RNAcentral.
AGCAGCCGCGGUAAUUCCAGCUCCAAUAGCGUAUAUUAAAGUUGUUGCAGUUAAAAAGCUCGUAGUUGAACUUCGGAAUCCGUCCAUCGGUCGGGUUUCACUGUCUGUACUGGUGUGGUGAGUCCUUACUUCCUGAAUAACCAGCAUGCCAUUCACUUGGUGAGCUGGGGAAGCAGGACUAUUACCUUGAAAAAAUUAGAGUGUUCAAAGCAGGCCAGUGCCUAAAUACAUUAGCAUGGAAUAAUAAAAUAGAAUGGCAUGGUUCUAUUUUUCUGUUUUCUAGGAUCACCGUAAUGAUUAAUAGGGAUAGUUGGG